AUUGAACGCUGGCGGCAGGCCUAACACAUGCAAGUCGAGCGGAAACGGCAACAUUGAUUCUUCGGAUGAUUUGUUGGACGUCGAGCGGCGGACGGGUGAGUAAUGCUUAGGAAUUUGCCCAGUCGAGGGGAUAACUAUUGGAAACGAUAGCUAAUACCGCAUACGCCCUACGGGGGAAAAGAGGGGACCUUCGGGCCUUCUGCGAUUGGAUAAGCCUAAGUGAGAUUAGCUAGUUGGUGAGGUAAUGGCUCACCAAGGCGACGAUCUCUAGCUGGUCUGAGAGGAUGAUCAGCCACACUGGAACUGAGACACGGUCCAGACUCCUACGGGAGGCAGCAGUGGGGAAUAUUGCACAAUGGGCGCAAGCCUGAUGCAGCGACGCCGCGUGAACGAUGAAGGCUUUUCGAGUCGUAAAGUUCUGUUCUUGGGGAA
This 432-nucleotide ribosomal RNA is filed under the name uncultured bacterium. RNAcentral describes it as "bacterial SSU rRNA". It matches the Rfam family "Bacterial small subunit ribosomal RNA", at positions 30 to 446 of the family's 1533-position model. The record is from RNAcentral.